Molecule: ribosomal RNA, 1368 nt
Filed under: uncultured bacterium
Lineage: Bacteria
Description: bacterial SSU rRNA
Rfam family: Bacterial small subunit ribosomal RNA
Source: RNAcentral
CCUGGCUCAGGAUGAACGCUGGCGGCGUGCCUAAUACAUGCAAGUCGAACGCUUCACUUCGGUGAAGAGUGGCGAACGGGUGAGUAAUACAUAAGUAACCUGGCAUCUACAGGGGGAUAACUGAUGGAAACGUCAGCUAAGACCGCAUAGGUGUAGAGAUCGCAUGAACUCUAUAUGAAAAGUGCUACGGGACUGGUAGAUGAUGGACUUAUGGCGCAUUAGCUUGUUGGUAGGGUAACGGCCUACCAAGGCGACGAUGCGUAGCCGACCUGAGAGGGUGACCGGCCACACUGGGACUGAGACACGGCCCAGACUCCUACGGNAGGCAGCAGUAGGGAAUUUUCGGCAAUGGGGGAAACCCUGACCGAGCAACGCCGCGUGAAGGAAGAAGUAAUUCGUUAUGUAAACUUCUGUCAUAGAGGAAGAACGGUGGAUAUAGGGAAUGAUAUCCAAGUGACGGUACUCUAUAAGAAAGCCACGGCUAACUACGUGCCAGCAGCCGCGGUAAUACGUAGGUGGCGAGCGUUAUCCGGAAUUAUUGGGCGUAAAGAGGGAGCAGGCGGCACUAAGGGUCUGUGGUGAAAGAUCGAAGCUUAACUUCCGUAAGCCAUGAAACCCGUAGAGCUAGAGUGUGUGAGAGGAUCGUGGAAUCCCAUGUGUAGCGGUGAAAUGCGUAGAUAUAUGGAGGAACACCAGUGGCGAAGGCGACGAUCUGGCGCAUAACUGACGCUCAGUCCCGAAAGCGUGGGGAGCAAAUAGGAUUAGAUACCCUAGUAGUCCACGCCGUAAACGAUGAGUACUAAGUGUUGGGUGUCAAAGCUCAGUGCUGCAGUUAACGCAAUAAGUACUCCGCCUGAGUAGUACGUUCGCAAGAAUGAAACUCAAAGGAAUUGACGGGGGCCCGCACAAGCGGUGGAGCAUGUGGUUUAAUUCGAAGCAACGCGAAGAACCUUACCAGGUCUUGACAUCGAUCUAAAGGCUCCAGAGAUGGAGAGAUAGCUAUAGAGAAGACAGGUGGUGCAUGGUUGUCGUCAGCUCGUGUCGUGAGAUGUUGGGUUAAGUCCCGCAACGAGCGCAACCCCUGUUGCCAGUUGCCAGCAUUAAGUUGGGGACUCUGGCGAGACUGCCGGUGACAAGCCGGAGGAAGGCGGGGAUGACGUCAAAUCAUCAUGCCCCUUAUGACCUGGGCUACACACGUGCUACAAUGGACAGAGCAGAGGGAAGCGAAGCCGCGAGGUGGAGCGAAACCCAUAAAACUGUUCUCAGUUCGGACUGCAGUCUGCAACUCGACUGCACGAAGAUGGAAUCGCUAGUAAUCGCGAAUCAGCAUGUCGCGGUGAAUACGUUCUCGGGCCUUGUACACACCGC